GAUGAACGCUGGCGGCGUGCCUAAUACAUGCAAGUCGAGCGAACAGAUAAGGAGCUUGCUCCUUUGACGUUAGCGGCGGACGGGUGAGUAACACGUGGGUAACCUACCUAUAAGACUGGGAUAACUUCGGGAAACCGGAGCUAAUACCGGAUAACAUUUGGAACCGCAUGGUUCUAAAGUGAAAGAUGGUUUUGCUAUCACUUAUAGAUGGACCCGCGCCGUAUUAGCUAGUUGGUAAGGUAACGGCUUACCAAGGCGACGAUACGUAGCCGACCUGAGAGGGUGAUCGGCCACACUGGAACUGAGACACGGUCCAGACUCCUACGGGAGGCAGCAGUAGGGAAUCUUCCGCAAUGGGCGAAAGCCUGACGGAGCAACGCCGCGUGAGUGAUGAAGGGUUUCGGCUCGUAAAACUCUGUUAUUAGGGAAGAACAAACGUGUAAGUAACUGUGCACGUCUUGACGGUACCUAAUCAGAAAGCCACGGCUAACUACGUGCCAGCAGCCGCGGUAAUACGUAGGUGGCAAGCGUUAUCCGGAAUUAUUGGGCGUAAAGCGCGCGUAGGCGGUUUCUUAAGUCUGAUGUGAAAGCCCACGGCUCAACCGUGGAGGGUCAUUGGAAACUGGGAAACUUGAGUGCAGAAGAGGAAAGUGGAAUUCCAUGUGUAGCGGUGAAAUGCGCAGAGAUAUGGAGGAACACCAGUGGCGAAGGCGACUUUCUGGUCUGUAACUGACGCUGAUGUGCGAAAGCGUGGGGAUCAAACAGGAUUAGAUACCCUGGUAGUCCACGCCGUAAACGAUGAGUGCUAAGUGUUAGGGGGUUUCCGCCCCUUAGUGCUGCAGC
RNAcentral lists this ribosomal RNA (843 nucleotides) under bacterium. Its description in RNAcentral is "bacterial SSU rRNA". It matches the Rfam family "Bacterial small subunit ribosomal RNA", at positions 28 to 852 of the family's 1533-position model. The record is from RNAcentral.